GAGGGGAUAGCUCAGUAGUAGAGCAUGUGCUCAACAUGGACGAGGUCCUGGGUUCAAUCCCCAGUACCUCCA
This 72-nucleotide transfer RNA is filed under the name Camelus bactrianus (Bactrian camel). It matches the Rfam family "tRNA". From Rfam's summary of the family: Transfer RNA (tRNA) molecules are approximately 80 nucleotides in length. Their secondary structure includes four short double-helical elements and three loops (D, anti-codon, and T loops). The record is from Rfam by way of RNAcentral. Lineage: Eukaryota; Metazoa; Chordata; Mammalia; Artiodactyla; Camelidae. RNAcentral also lists the same sequence under 2 other names.